GGGCGGCUGCUAUACAUGCAGUCGAGCGAAUUGCAAGAGGAGCUUGCUCCUCUGAUUUAGCGGCGGACGGGUGAGUAACACGUGGGUAAUCUGCCUGUAAGACGGGGAUAACUCCGGGAAACCGGGGCUAAUACCGGAUAACAAGAGAAGAAGCAUUUCUUCUUUUUGAAAGUCGGUUUCGGCUGACACUUACAGAUGAGCCCGCGGCGCAUUAGCUAGUUGGUGAGGUAACGGCUCACCAAGGCGACGAUGCGUAGCCGACCUGAGAGGGUGAUCGGCCACACUGGGACUGAGACACGGCCCAGACUCCUACGGGAGGCAGCAGUAGGGAAUCUUCGGCAAUGGGCGAAAGCCUGACCGAGCAACGCCGCGUGAGCGAUGAAGGCCUUCGGGUCGUAAAGCUCUGUUGUUAGAGAAGAACAAGUACGAGAGUAACUGCUCGUACCUUGACGGUACCUAACCAGAAAGCCACGGCUAACUACGUGCCAGCAGCCGCGGUAAUACGUAGGUGGCAAGCGUUAUCCGGAAUUAUUGGGCGUAAAGCGCGCGCAGGCGGUCUCUUAAGUCUGAUGUGAAAGCCCACGGCUCAACCGUGGAGGGUCAUUGGAAACUGGGAGACUUGAGUGCAGGAGAGAAAAGUGGAAUUCCACGUGUAGCGGUGAAAUGCGUAGAGAUGUGGAGGAACACCAGUGGCGAAGGCGGCUUUUUGGCCUGUAACUGACGCUGAGGCGCGAAAGCGUGGGGAGCAAACAGGAUUAGAUACCCUGGUAGUCCACGCCGUAAACGAUGAGUGCUAGGUGUUGGGGGGGUUCCACCCUCAGUGCUGAAGUUAACACAUUAAGCACUCCGCCUGGGGAGUACGACCGCAAGGUUGAAACUCAAAGGAAUUGACG
Molecule: ribosomal RNA, 893 nt
Filed under: Fictibacillus barbaricus
Lineage: Bacteria; Bacillati; Bacillota; Bacilli; Caryophanales; Fictibacillaceae
Description: bacterial SSU rRNA
Rfam family: Bacterial small subunit ribosomal RNA
Source: RNAcentral